This 367-nucleotide transfer-messenger RNA is filed under the name Actinotalea lenta. It matches the Rfam family "transfer-messenger RNA". Rfam says of the family: Bacterial tmRNA, also known as 10Sa RNA or SsrA, is named for its dual tRNA and mRNA-like properties. Its role is to liberate the mRNA from a stalled ribosome. The record is from RNAcentral. Lineage: Bacteria; Bacillati; Actinomycetota; Actinomycetes; Micrococcales; Cellulomonadaceae.
GGGGGUGAUCGGUUUCGACGAUGGUCGUCGUUCCAGGAGAAGCGGGUCGAGGAUGCACGGUCAUCUCGUCAACGCUCCGUGCAAACCAAUAGGUGCCAAUUCCAACCGCACCGACUUCGCCCUCGCCGCCUGAGCGAGCUGCGUAGUCCGUCAGCCUGAGGUCGCUUCCGCCUCAGAUCCUGGCGUCAUCUAGGGAGCCAAUGCUCGUAGUCCUGGUCAUGGGGGCUGCGGGGACUCUCACGUGACUGGGCCCGUCAGCGACUUGUCUGCGUGAUCGCUGGGGCCGAGAAAAGCACAGCAGACUGCACCCGGAGAAGGCCUGGUUCACUGCCGUCGGACGCGGGUUCGAUUCCCGCCACCUCCACCC